RNAcentral lists this ribosomal RNA (426 nucleotides) under uncultured bacterium. Its description in RNAcentral is "bacterial SSU rRNA". It matches the Rfam family "Bacterial small subunit ribosomal RNA", at positions 356 to 773 of the family's 1533-position model. The record is from RNAcentral.
AGGGAAUCUUCCGCAAUGGACGAAAGUCUGACGGAGCAACGCCGCGUGAGUGAUGAAGGUUUUCGGAUCGUAGAACUCUGUUGUUAGGGAAGAACAAGUAUCGUUCGAAUAGGGCGGUACCUUGACGGCACCUAACCAGAAAGCCACGGCUAACUACGUGCCAGCAGCCGCGGUAAUACGUAGGUGGCAAGCGUUGUCCGGAAUUAUUGGGCGUAAAGCGCGCGCAGGCGGUUUCUUAAGUCUGAUGUGAAAUCUUGCGGCUCAACCGCAAGCGGCCAUUGGAAACUGGGAGACUUGAGUGCAGAAGAGGAGAGUGGAAUUCCACGUGUAGCGGUGAAAUGCGUAGAGAUGUGGAGGAACACCAGUGGCGAAGGCGACUCUCUGGUCUGUAACUGACGCUGAGGCGCGAAAGCGUGGGGAGCGAAC